Molecule: ribosomal RNA, 448 nt
Filed under: uncultured bacterium
Lineage: Bacteria
Description: bacterial SSU rRNA
Rfam family: Bacterial small subunit ribosomal RNA
Source: RNAcentral
CCCAGACUCCUACGGGAGGCAGCAGUGGGAGAUAUUGCACAAUGGGGGGAACCCUGAUGCAGCGACGCCGCGUGGGUGAAGGAGCGUUUCGGCGCGUAAAGCCCUAUCGGCAGGGAAGAAGGAGGACGGUACCUGACUAAGGAGCCCCGGCUAACUACGUGCCAGCAGCCGCGGUAAUACGUAGGGGGCAAGCGUUAUCCGGAUUUACUGGGUGUAAAGGGGGCGCAGACGGCAGCGCAAGCCAGGAGUGAAAGCCCGGGGCCCAACCCCGGGACUGCUCUUGGAACUGCGCGGCUGGAGUGCAGGAGGGGCAGGCGGAAUUCCUGGUGUAGCGGUGAAAUGCGUAGAUAUCAGGAGGAACACCGGUGGCGAAGGCGGCCUGCUGGACUGCGACUGACGUUGAGGCCCGAAAGCGUGGGGAGCAAACAGGAUUAGAUACCCCCGUACU